RNAcentral lists this small nuclear RNA (174 nucleotides) under Neogale vison (American mink). RNAcentral describes it as "Neovison vison (American mink) U2 spliceosomal RNA (ENSNVIG00000002666.1)". The stretch from base 1 to 131 matches the Rfam family "U2 spliceosomal RNA". From Rfam's summary of the family: U2 is a small nuclear RNA (snRNA) component of the spliceosome (involved in pre-mRNA splicing). Complementary binding between U2 snRNA (in an area lying towards the 5' end but 3' to hairpin I) and the branchpoint sequence (BPS) of the intron results the bulging out of an unpaired adenosine, on the BPS, which initiates a nucleophilic attack at the intronic 5' splice site, thus starting the first of two transesterification reactions that mediate splicing. The record is from RNAcentral. Lineage: Eukaryota; Metazoa; Chordata; Mammalia; Carnivora; Mustelidae.
AUCGCUUCUCGGCCUUUUGGCUAAUAUAAAGUGUAGUAUCUGUUCUUAUCAGUUUAAUUCUCACUUCUCUGAGAGACAGGCAGUCUGUCUUCCUCAUUUGACAGAUUAGGGAGUCAAGGUGGACAUCCCCUUCUCACGCAGGCAAAUUUAUGCAAAACCCAGCUUGAAUAUGAU